AAGUCGUAACAAGGUUUCCGUAGGUGAACCUGCGGAAGGAUCAUUAUCGUAGGGCUUCGGCCCUCUCGAGAUAGAACCCUUGCCUUUUUGAGUACCUUUCGUUUCCUCGGCGGGCUCGCCCGCCAAUAGGGACCACAAUAAACCCUUUGUAAUACCUGUAAUCGUCUAACAAAACAAACAAAAAUUAAAACUUUCAACAACAGAUCUCUUAGUUCUG
Molecule: unclassified non-coding RNA, 217 nt
Filed under: Preussia flanaganii
Lineage: Eukaryota; Fungi; Ascomycota; Dothideomycetes; Pleosporales; Sporormiaceae
Description: partial internal transcribed spacer region
Rfam family: Eukaryotic small subunit ribosomal RNA (bases 1-46)
Source: RNAcentral